This 504-nucleotide ribosomal RNA is filed under the name Botryotinia sp. FL-2010a. Its description in RNAcentral is "eukaryotic LSU rRNA". The stretch from base 153 to 306 matches the Rfam family "5.8S ribosomal RNA". Lineage: Eukaryota; Fungi; Ascomycota; Leotiomycetes; Helotiales; Sclerotiniaceae. The record is from RNAcentral.
CAUUACAGAGUUCAUGCCCGAAAGGGUAGACCUCCCACCCUUGUGUAUUAUUACUUUGUUGCUUUGGCGAGCUGCCUUCGGGCCUUGUAUGCUCGCCAGAGAAAACCAAAACUCUUUUUAUUAAUGUCGUCUGAGUACUAUAUAAUAGUUAAAACUUUCAACAACGGAUCUCUUGGUUCUGGCAUCGAUGAAGAACGCAGCGAAAUGCGAUAAGUAAUGUGAAUUGCAGAAUUCAGUGAAUCAUCGAAUCUUUGAACGCACAUUGCGCCCCUUGGUAUUCCGGGGGGCAUGCCUGUUCGAGCGUCAUUUCAACCCUCAAGCUUAGCUUGGUAUUGAGUCUAUGUCAGUAAUGGCAGGCUCUAAAAUCAGUGGCGGCGCCGCUGGGUCCUGAACGUAGUAAUAUCUCUCGUUACAGGUUCUCGGUGUGCUUCUGCCAAAACCCAAAUUUUUCUAUGGUUGACCUCGGAUCAGGUAGGGAUACCCGCUGAACUUAAGCAUAUCAAU